GGACUACCAGGGUUUCUAAUCCCGUUUGCUCCCCUGGCUUUCGCGCCUCAGCGUCAGAAAAGGUCCAGCAGCUCGCUUUCGCCACCGGCGUUCCUUCCGAUAUCAACGCAUUUCACCGCUCCACCGGAAGUUCCAGCUGCCCCUACCUCCCUCCAGACCGCCAGUAUCCAGGGCCAUUGUCCGGUUGGGCCGAACGAUUUCACCCCGGACUUGGCAGUCCGCCUACGCGCCCUUUAAGCCCAGUGAUUCCGAACAACGUUCGCACGGUUCGUCUUACCGCGGCUGCUGGCAC
This 292-nucleotide ribosomal RNA is filed under the name uncultured Planctomycetota bacterium. RNAcentral describes it as "uncultured planctomycete partial 16S ribosomal RNA". Lineage: Bacteria; Pseudomonadati; Planctomycetota. The record is from RNAcentral.